CGGAGGGUGCAAGCGUUGUCCGGAUUUAUUGGGUUUAAAGGGUGCGUAGGCGGCUUCAUAAGUCCGUGGUGAAAGCCAACAGCUCAACUGUUGAACUGCCAUGGAUACUGUGAGGCUUGAGUACAGACGAGGUAGGCGGAAUGGAUCGUGUAGCGGUGAAAUGCAUAGAUACGAUCCAGAACACCGAUUGCGUAGGCAGCUUACUAGGCUGUAACUGACGCUGAGGCACGAAAGCGUGGGGAGCGAACAGGAUUAGAUACCCUGGUAGUCCACGCUGUAAACGAUGAUAACUCGAUGUUGGCGAUACACAGUCAGCGUCUUAGCGAAAGCGUUAAGUUAUCCACCUGGGGAGUACGCCCGCAAGGGUG
RNAcentral lists this ribosomal RNA (368 nucleotides) under uncultured organism. RNAcentral describes it as "bacterial SSU rRNA". It matches the Rfam family "Bacterial small subunit ribosomal RNA", at positions 526 to 896 of the family's 1533-position model. The record is from RNAcentral.